Molecule: small RNA, 166 nt
Filed under: Clostridium sp.
Lineage: Bacteria; Bacillati; Bacillota; Clostridia; Eubacteriales; Clostridiaceae
Also listed under: 1 other name
Description: Magnesium sequence
Rfam family: M-box riboswitch aptamer (ykoK leader)
About the family: M-box riboswitch, also know as ykoK leader is described as a metaloregulatory RNA that sense divalent metals and function as a genetic control element of genes related to divalent metal transport in bacteria.
Source: RNAcentral
AAAAUUUAAGGUUAGGUGAGGCUCCUAUAUAGAGAUACGCUGCUGCCCGGAAACAUCGAGAGAUGCCAAUGGGUCAACAAGUACUACCGAAUUAAGGUUUUAUUUAACGUAGCUGGACUUUGUCCUCAUGCUAUAUAGUGCUAAAACUCAACGAAAAUUAUUUUUG